ACCUCUCCACUCUGCACAAGCAUGCUGAGCUAUCAACCUAUCCAAUCACAAGACAAGAAAAAAAAGAAUUGAGUUUCAGGUAGCUGAAGAAUCUGUCCUCACAAUUUUUUGUUCUGCCGCGUAAAUCUUCGCGUGUUCGAGAAAAAAAAAAGCAAUGUGAAGCAGGAAAAAUGUUUUUAGGUAAUGGAUGUGACUGUGCCAUAAUUUUGGUGACUUUAUGGUGAUUAAAAUUCUCUCUUUUUUUUCGUUUCUUAGAAUUGACUGCUAAUUGGUGAAUGAUACCUAGAAUGAUUAGACAAGAACAUGAGACAGACAAUGGUGUCAUGAAACAACAGCUACUUACAGAAACGGUUGAACUACCCUGUGGGGGACCAUGUCUUUUGUUGUUUCAAUUACUGAGUUUCUAAUAAUACUCCGUGAUUAACUAAAACUGUAAUUAUUCCCAAAAUUUAGUCUGAGCAUCCUGCUAAUUUUGGAGUAUGCAUGGCUAACUGAAUAGAUUUUCCCAUGAAUAAAAAAAAAUGCUUUGAUACAAGCAUAUAAACCCAGUAAUUUGUUCACAUAAUUUACAACUUCAUGUAUGAUAUGGAAUUUUCCUAUCCACAAACAAUUCAGAUUCUCUGAACUGACCAACCAAAACAACUUCUUGCUUAUUGGUGAGCACAAGGCAUUGUGAAUCUUCUCACACAAAACCAAUCAGCAAGCAGAAAUCUUUCGGUCCAACAACAAGCCAGAAACCCUCUAAAUUUUGACCAUCAAAACCAAUCCAAGGAUUGCACAUCCAUCCUUGAAUGAAACACACAACAAUUUGAAGGAGAAAAAGCACAUAUUCAAUUACAGAGAAAGAAAGGAAGCAAGGUUACUCACCAAAGGAGCUUGGUUCCUUCUGUCCAUGGCCUGUCCCUGAAGCAAAGUAUCAAGAAACCACAGCAACAACUACUCACCACCAAUUACCCCAAGAUAUUUAUCACAUCAUCAUCACCAUGCUUCUACAGCCCCAAUACCCUUUUGCACAUGAUUCAUGCAGAGGAAGAGGGCAAGAAAAACUUCAAAAUCUCUCAACCAGAAGCUCCUUUAUGACAGUGCCAUGCUGGUUGAUCACCAGGAGGAGGAAGAAGAAAAGGAAGAAGGAGCCAAGGAGAAGACAGCAGAUGAGAAGGAAG
RNAcentral lists this long non-coding RNA (1163 nucleotides) under Oryza brachyantha (malo sina). RNAcentral's name for it is "long non-coding RNA (OBRA_LNC000385)". The record is from RNAcentral. Lineage: Eukaryota; Viridiplantae; Streptophyta; Magnoliopsida; Poales; Poaceae.